GGAAAUUAUUAGCCACAAAGUGCUGCAAUAAAGAAUUGAUUUUCCAGGCCUGAUGAAUCCAGCAUGUUCCAGCUGAGGCUGCUUCUCCUGGGCAGCAGCGGUUCACUUUAUGGGCACUGAGAGCAGGAGGAACUGGAAAUUGGAUCCUUAAAAAAGCCCUACCUUUCACUGCUGGCUUCGUGACAAUCAUAUUGUCAUAUAUUGAUGUUAACUGUUUCCAAAGCAGACAUGAAGAUCUCCGGCUUUUUGGGCCAGCAGUCUACUUUACAUCAGCAUGUCGAGCAGACUUCAUUUGACCAAGAGGUGGCAGUGUAGCUCUCAGGAUCCCACAUGGCAUGUCACUGUAAGAGAUCUAAAAAUCCAUAACAUGUCAGAUCAGUUAUAAUUGCAUUUAUCUGUCUGACUGAUAUUUAUACCUACAGGAUCUUCUCCUUUGUGUCUCGGAGAGAUUAAGCAGUUCGACUGGCAGAAUGAUUUGAUUAAAGAAGGCUCUUUGGAGUUAAAGCAGGAUUUUUCCCCCCCUCUUUUCAUCUGCGUAAUGCCAUGUCUGGCUUUGACUGUCAAUGUUAGCUUUAUUGAAAGAGUGAAAAAAUAACUUUCACAUCAAAGCUGGCUAUUUUCAGUUAUUGUGAGCUUACUGUAUAUACAGGUUGACUUCAAUGAAAUGUUUGUUACGUAACGUAACCAAGAUAUAGGGGACUAUAGAGAUAUAGAAACGGA
Molecule: long non-coding RNA, 720 nt
Filed under: Sinocyclocheilus anshuiensis
Lineage: Eukaryota; Metazoa; Chordata; Actinopteri; Cypriniformes; Cyprinidae
Description: lncRNA (ENSSANG00000013537.1)
Source: RNAcentral